RNAcentral lists this ribosomal RNA (253 nucleotides) under uncultured bacterium. RNAcentral's name for it is "partial 16S ribosomal RNA". It matches the Rfam family "Bacterial small subunit ribosomal RNA", at positions 524 to 776 of the family's 1533-position model. The record is from RNAcentral.
UACGUAGGUGGCAAGCGUUGUCCGGAAUUAUUGGGCGUAAAGGGUAGGUAGGUGGUCUCAUUUGUCUGGGGUGAAAGCCUUGAGCUUAACUCAAGAAGUGCCCCAGAAACGGUGAGACUAGAGUCCUGGAGAGGGUCGUGGAAUUCCCGGUGUAGCGGUGAAAUGCGUAGAGAUCGGGAGGAACACCAGAGGCGAAGGCGGCGACCUGGACAGGUAUUGACGCUGAGGCGCGAAAGCUAGGGUAGCAAACGGG